UGGGGAAUUUUGCACAAUGGGGGAAACCCUGAUGCAGCGACGCCGCGUGAUUUAGAAGGCCUUCGGGUUGUAAAAAUCUUUUGUAUGGAAGAAAAUGACAGUACCAUACGAAUAAGGACCGGCUAAUUACGUGCCAGCAGCCGCGGUAAUACGUAAGGUCCGAGCGUUGUCCGGAAUCAUUGGGCGUAAAGGGUACGUAGGCGGAUAAGCAAGUUAGAAGUGAAAUCCUAUAGCUCAACUAUAGUAAGCUUUUAAAACUGCUCAUCUUGAGGUAUGGAAGGGAAAGUGGAAUUCCUAGUGUAGCGGUGAAAUGCGCAGAUAUUAGGAGGAAUACCGGUGGCGAAGGCGACUUUCUGGCCAUAUACUGACGCUGAGGUACGAAAGCGUGGGUAGCAAACAGG
This 401-nucleotide ribosomal RNA is filed under the name Verrucomicrobiota bacterium. Its description in RNAcentral is "Verrucomicrobia bacterium partial 16S ribosomal RNA". It matches the Rfam family "Bacterial small subunit ribosomal RNA", at positions 355 to 776 of the family's 1533-position model. Lineage: Bacteria; Pseudomonadati; Verrucomicrobiota. The record is from RNAcentral.